Molecule: long non-coding RNA, 465 nt
Filed under: Equus asinus (donkey)
Lineage: Eukaryota; Metazoa; Chordata; Mammalia; Perissodactyla; Equidae
Description: lncRNA (ENSEASG00005030758.1)
Source: RNAcentral
GCAAACUAUCAGCUCUGUCUGCUCAUCUCUCGGCUUGAGCAUUGCUGGCUUAUGCAGCUUCCAGGUGUUCUCGCCAGGCCCUCUGAUCCGGUUCUAUCAAAAUGGAAGCUAGCCACCCAGUCCAGCACUACAAGACCUUUGGGCCUGAGAAGGCAGUGGAAUGGGUCUCUAGAAACUGACUUUGACAAGGGCUCCUAUAUUCAAACAUGACUGGAGGCUGACCCCUGGUGGAUGGUAGACCUGGGAUCUCUGUACGCUGGAAAUGGUGGUGAUUAUCAACCUAAGGGAGUGCUGUCAGGAGGAGCUUAACAGAACCAUGACAAAUGGGAGACUCACCUAGUAAUCGUGAGAAGUUAAAUUUUAAGGAUAAAAGGAAAAUUACUUUUGAAAGAUGAUCAAAUCCAUGUGUUUUUUGUUGUUGAUCUAAGGAAAAUUUUUUAAUUAAACCCAUUUUUUUAAAAGUCA